RNAcentral lists this ribosomal RNA (504 nucleotides) under uncultured bacterium. RNAcentral describes it as "bacterial SSU rRNA". It matches the Rfam family "Bacterial small subunit ribosomal RNA", at positions 29 to 524 of the family's 1533-position model. The record is from RNAcentral.
AGUGAACGCUGGCGGCAGGCCUAAUACAUGCAAGUCGAACGGCAGCACAGCAGAGCUCGCUCUGUGGGUGGCGAGUGGCGGACGGGUGAGGAAUACGUGGGAAUCUGCCCAGUCGUGGGGGAUAACGUAGGGAAACUUACGCUAAUACCGCAUGCGCCCUUCGGGGAAAGCCGGGGACCUUCGGGCCUGGCGCGAUUGGAUGAGCCCACGUCGGAUUAGCUAGUUGGCGGGGUAAAGGCCCACCAAGGCGACGAUCCGUAGCUGGUCUGAGAGGAUGAUCAGCCACACUGGAACUGAGACACGGUCCAGACUCCUACGGGAGGCAGCAGUAGGGAAUAUUGGACAAUGGGCGCAAGCCUGAUCCAGCCAUGCCGCGUGAGUGAAGAAGGCCCUCGGGUUGUAAAGCUCUUUGUCCGGAAAGAAAGCGCCGGGUUAAUACCCUGGUGUCCUGACGGUACCGGAAGAAUAAGCACCGGCUAACUUCGUGCCAGCAGCCGCGGUAAU